RNAcentral lists this ribosomal RNA (503 nucleotides) under uncultured bacterium. RNAcentral describes it as "partial 16S ribosomal RNA". It matches the Rfam family "Bacterial small subunit ribosomal RNA", at positions 30 to 523 of the family's 1533-position model. The record is from RNAcentral.
AUUGAACGCUGGCGGCAGGCUUAACACAUGCAAGUCGAGCGGGGUGAUGGUGCUUGCACUAUCACUUAGCGGCGGACGGGUGAGUAAUGCUUAGGAAUCCGCCUAUUAGUGGGGGACAACAUCUCGAAAGGGAUGCUAAUACCGCAUACGUCCUACGGGAGAAAGCAGGGGAUCACUUGUGACCUUGCGCUAAUAGAUGAGCAUAAGUCGGAUUAGCUAGUUGGUGGGGUAAAGGCCUACCAAGGCGACGAUCUGUAGCGGGUCUGAGAGGAUGAUCCGCCACACUGGGACUGAGACACGGCCCAGACUCCUACGGGAGGCAGCAGUGGGGAAUAUUGGACAAUGGGGGGAACCCUGAUCCAGCCAUGCCGCGUGUGUGAAGAAGGCCUUAUGGUUGUAAAGCACUUUAAGCGAGGAGGAGGCUCUUUUGGUUAAUACCCAAGAUGAGUGGACGUUACUCGCAGAAUAAGCACCGGCUAACUCUGUGCCAGCCGCCGCAGUAA